AUACGUAGGGGGCGAGCGUUGUCCGGAAUCACUGGGCGUAAAGGGCGCGUAGGUGGUUAUCUAAGUUAGACGUGAAAUCCAUGGGCUUAACCUGAGGCUUGCGUUUAAGACUGGAUAACUUGAGUGCAGGAGAGGGGAGCGGAAUUCCUGGUGUAGCGGUGAUAUGCGUAGAUAUCAGGAGGAACACCAGUGGCGAAGGCGGCUUUCUGGACUGUAACUGACACUGAGGCGCGAAAGCCGGGGGAGCAAACAGGAUUAGAUACCCUGGUAGUCCCGGCUGUAAACGAUGGGUACUAGGUGUAGGGGGUAUCGACCCCUCCUGUGCCGCAGUUAACACAAUAAGUACCCCGCCUGGGGAGUACGACCGCAAGGUUGAA
RNAcentral lists this ribosomal RNA (377 nucleotides) under uncultured bacterium. RNAcentral describes it as "bacterial SSU rRNA". It matches the Rfam family "Bacterial small subunit ribosomal RNA", at positions 523 to 898 of the family's 1533-position model. The record is from RNAcentral.